Molecule: small RNA, 31 nt
Filed under: Bombyx mori (domestic silkworm)
Lineage: Eukaryota; Metazoa; Arthropoda; Insecta; Lepidoptera; Bombycidae
Description: ovarian small RNA-10787
Source: RNAcentral
AAUCGAAGUGAUGUUCGGAGGGCGACCCCUU